AUCGCUUCUUGGCCUUUUGGCUAAGUGUAGUAUCUGAUGGUCCUCUAUCUGUAAAUUGGUUUUUGAGCAGGGAGAUGGAGUAGGACCUUGCUCCAUGCGCUCCACGCAUCAUUCUGGUACUGCAGUACCUCUGGGAAUGGUGUGCCUCCA
This is a small nuclear RNA of Ailuropoda melanoleuca (giant panda), 150 nucleotides long. Its record names the gene U2. It matches the Rfam family "U2 spliceosomal RNA". Rfam says of the family: U2 is a small nuclear RNA (snRNA) component of the spliceosome (involved in pre-mRNA splicing). Complementary binding between U2 snRNA (in an area lying towards the 5' end but 3' to hairpin I) and the branchpoint sequence (BPS) of the intron results the bulging out of an unpaired adenosine, on the BPS, which initiates a nucleophilic attack at the intronic 5' splice site, thus starting the first of two transesterification reactions that mediate splicing. The record is from Ensembl. NCBI's taxonomy places the organism in Eukaryota, Metazoa, Chordata, Mammalia, Carnivora, Ursidae.